GCAAACUUGGUCAUUUAGAGGAAGUAAAAGUCGUAACAAGGUUUCCGUAGGUGAACCUGCGGAAGGAUCAUUAUUGAAUGAGUUUUUAAAACGGGUUGUGGCUGGCCUCCUGUGAGGCAUGUGCAACGCCCUACUCAUCCACUCUAUAAACCCUUUGUGCAGAAUGGCUAGAGAAUUGAAUAUAUUCCUGGGGUUAAUGGAAUAUCAUCAAUUUGGUCGUAAGACUAGAUUGAUAUCAUUUUUCUACGCCUUUUUUUUCUUGUCUUAUAGACAAUAAAGUAACAGAAUGUUGUAUCUUUGCAUUUAAUGCAUUAUAAUAUAACUUUCAGCAACGGAUCUCUUGGCUCUCGCAUCGAUGAAGAACGCAGC
This 369-nucleotide unclassified non-coding RNA is filed under the name uncultured fungus. RNAcentral's name for it is "partial contains small subunit ribosomal RNA, internal transcribed spacer 1, and 5.8S ribosomal RNA". The stretch from base 1 to 73 matches the Rfam family "Eukaryotic small subunit ribosomal RNA", at positions 1759 to 1831 of the family's 1831-position model. The record is from RNAcentral. Lineage: Eukaryota; Fungi.